RNAcentral lists this ribosomal RNA (497 nucleotides) under uncultured bacterium. RNAcentral's name for it is "partial 16S ribosomal RNA". It matches the Rfam family "Bacterial small subunit ribosomal RNA", at positions 28 to 507 of the family's 1533-position model. The record is from RNAcentral.
GACGAACGCUGGCGGCGUGCCUAAUACAUGCAAGUUGAGCGCUGAAGGUUGGUACUUGUACCAACUGGAUGAGCAGCGAACGGGUGAGUAACGCGUGGGGAAUCUGCCUUUGAGCGGGGGACAACAUUUGGAAACGAAUGCUAAUACCGCAUAAAAACUUUAAACACAAGUUUUAAGUUUGAAAGAUGCAAUUGCAUCACUCAAAGAUGAUCCCGCGUUGUAUUAGCUAGUUGGUGAGGUAAAGGCUCACCAAGGCGAUGAUACAUAGCCGACCUGAGAGGGUGAACGGGCAUAUUGGGACUGGGACACGACCCAAACUCUUACGAGAGGACGCGGUAGGGAAGCUUCGGCAAUGGAGGAAAGUUUGACUGUGCAGCGCCGCGUGAGUGAAGAAGGUGUUCGGAUCGUAAAACUCUGUGGGUAGAGCAGAGCGUUGGGGAGAGUGGAAAGCUCACCAAGUGAGGGGAACUACCCAGAAAGGGACGGCUAACUACAUG